This 584-nucleotide ribosomal RNA is filed under the name Ceroplastes sp. MTS-2013. RNAcentral describes it as "SSU rRNA". It matches the Rfam family "Eukaryotic small subunit ribosomal RNA", at positions 19 to 514 of the family's 1831-position model. The record is from RNAcentral. Lineage: Eukaryota; Metazoa; Arthropoda; Insecta; Hemiptera; Coccidae.
AGUAGUCAUAUGCUUGUCUCAAAGAUUAAGCCAUGCAUGUCUAAGUACAAGCUGUCUCGUACAGUGAAACUGCGAAAGGCUCAUUAAAUCAGUUAUGGUUCCUUAGAUCGUACCCACGUUACAUGGAUAACUGUGGUAAUUCUAGAGCUAAUACAUGCCGACAGAGCUCCGACCAGCGCGUCGUCGUUCGGCGGUUCGCCCGUCGUCGUCGGCCGUUCGGAAGGAGCGCUUUUAUUAGAUCAAAACCGGCCAAGCGUUCGGAUUGCGCUUCGCGCGCACAUUCGGACGUAAGUGGCCCGCGCAAAGACUUGACGACUCUGAAUAACUUCGAGCUGAUCGCACGGUCCUCGUACCGGCGACGUAUCUUUCAAAUGUCUGCCUUAUCAACUGUCGACGGUAGGUUCUACGCCUACCGUGGUGGUAACGGGUAACGGGGAAUCAGGGUUCGAUUCCGGAGAGGGAGCCUGAGAAACGGCUACCACAUCCAAGGAAGGCAGCAGGCACGAAAAUUAUCCAUUCAGGACUCCUGGAGAUAGUGACGAAAAAUAACGAUACGGGACUCAUCCGAGGCCCCGUAAUCGGAA